AGUAACGCGUGAGUAACCUGCCUUUCAGAGGGGGAUAACGUUCUGAAAAGAACGCUAAUACCGCAUGAGACUACAGAGCUGCAUGGCUCAGUGGUCAAAGGAGCAAUCCGCUGAAAGAUGGACUCGCGUCCGAUUAGAUAGUAGGCGGGGUAACGGCCCACCUAAUCGACGAUCGGUAGCCGGACUGAGAGGUUGAACGGCCACAUUGGGACUGAGACACGGCCCAGACUCCUACGGGAGGCAGCAUG
This 248-nucleotide ribosomal RNA is filed under the name uncultured bacterium. Its description in RNAcentral is "partial 16S ribosomal RNA". It matches the Rfam family "Bacterial small subunit ribosomal RNA", at positions 109 to 353 of the family's 1533-position model. The record is from RNAcentral.